Molecule: long non-coding RNA, 4686 nt
Organism: Marmota monax (woodchuck)
Lineage: Eukaryota; Metazoa; Chordata; Mammalia; Rodentia; Sciuridae
Exons: 3
Source: RefSeq, a predicted model, not a curated record
GGCGGGAAUUCCAGACAAGUUUAGAAAUCUCAGUAAUUUAUAGUAAAACAGAAAUUAACUUUUUCAUGACUUUGUGAUGAUAUGGCUCCUAAUCUUAAAACAGAAUUAGGCUGAGUUCACCGAUACUUGGUGCUUCUGAGUGAAUGUAGCUUUCCUUAAAGUGACAGUUCAGGGUCGUAGGCUACUUCCAUCUCAACUUGUAACUUCCAGCGUCACAGUGUUCAUCGUAAGAAGGGGAAAGACUGAGGGAGGUGGCAAAGAAAGGUCUCAGUGGUCAAGGAGCGGGGGUCGCAAAGGUUUCUGGGAAAUGUAGUCGAGUUGCGAGGCCUACGUCCAAGCUGCGCAGGCGCAUUCGCGAACACGCCUCUGCGCCCAGGUGACUCGGCACCUGGCAGGGCAGACCCAGGGCAGGAGAGCGUGGGCCGUGCUAGACAGUCUCAUUAGUUUGCCCAGUUUGGCCUUGGACUUGCAAUCCUCUUGGCUCAGCCUUCCAAGUUGCUGCGAUUACAGGUUUCAAAGCUGGAGUUCCAGAGGCCAUCCUUGGAAAAUGCCUCCAAAAUCUCCUGGGAGAGCCCUUCUUCUAAGAAAUCCUGAUGCAGAGGAGAGGCCUUGGUCUCAGUCAUAUCUGAAAGAGAGAAUACAAAUGUCUCCAGUGGGAAAGACCAGAGCUGUGGGCUGAGAAUGUGGACAAGAGGCAGUAGGGGUGAUACGUCUUGAGUCCAGCCUGUCCAUCAAGGGGGUUAAAGGAAAGGGGCCCGAAGUGGUGUCCCGUCUGAAACUGGCAUCAAGAAACGGAGUCCAUUCUCAAGAAGGGAAUCUGGAAACUUCAGGAGUUCAACUGAGAGGGAGAAUCCCAGCCAUAACCCUCAUACCUACAUCAAUGACUGUGUUCCCCAAAGUCUCCUGGAGAAUGAUUCAAUCACCCACCCAGUCCUUCACAUCUGAAUCCUGGGAGUCCGCAUCCCCACUCCCACUCACCACUUUCUGCCAGACCUCCUUGGGAAUGUCAACUCCCUCCCUCUCCGGUGUCAAUCAUCAACUUCCACCCAGCCAUCAGGGGCUGUGUGACAACCAGCUCGGCUACAUCACUCCCCCAAUAAACACUUCCAGAGCCUCUGAAGAGAAAUGCAAGUGCAUGAAUCCAGCAUUCUCUGUACUGGCCCCAAAGAACUCCUGCAUGUCCCUGAAUUUACCAAACUUUCUUAUCUGUGCCAUAACAGGACUCUUGUGCCCAAGUGCCCUUCACAGGCAAACUGUUCUGUGUCCUAGCUUGAGUACCACCCUACUCUGAGGUAUCCCCAAAACCCCACACUGCUUUCUGCUGAGAGUGCCCCACCUUGUGUUCUCUCUGAAACAGCUGAGCUUUCAUCACCCUCUACUGUGACUUGUGAGUGGAUGAUGUACAAGCAGUCACAGAAAAUUCUCAAGGACAAAAAGCAAGGUACCUCAGGUGCACUCUCAACCACCCCUGAUAGCCCCCUUUCCAAAGUUGAACAAGCAGAUCUGCCCUUAUCUGGCCCACCCUCAACUACCAAGCUGUGCACCCCUGGGACCCCACAAAACAUGAAAUUCACUGCUUUCUCCACACCUCCAGUCCCCCUACCCCACCCAGCCCAUCCUGAACCAUCAUAUUCUUUCAAGUCUGUUCCUUCGUGGAUUUCAUGGCUCUCUAUCCACUGAACAUCUCAGAGACUGCCCAUAUCUCAGCCUGUUAAGUGAAACUGAAACAAAAUCUUUCCAGAGCCACCUCUUGCUCUGCAUUGUCACAUCUUCUGUGCUUCUGCUCCAACAGCUAUCUGGCUUGUUCUCCUCACUAUGCCUCUGUGCAUGCUGCUGCCUAUGCCUGGAGCACAUUAACAGCCGUGUACCAGGCCCUCUUACAUGCUGAGCAUGAUGUAGAGAGCUGGGAACACAGGAUGAAUCUAGCAGAAUUUGCAGUUAUAGCAGGAAGAAGACCUGAGUGAUAACAAUGCAGCACAGUUGUGACUAUUGGAGAUGUACAUGUACACACACACACACACACAUGCCUACCUAUAUAUUUAGUUGUCUCUACUUGAAAAUAUCCUCUAUGUUAAAGUAACAGAAACAAAAAUGAGAGGUCAGGGGAGCACGUGCCUGGAUUGGUCUCCCUCAUGUGACACUGGUGCUGAGCAGCAGGCUGCAGAGGACUCAUAGGCAGUGAGCCAAGCACAGGGAUGCAGACUGAUGGGCAGGUAGAGCCAUGGAAUCCUGUGAUCUCUGGUUCAGGGCCCUCCUCCUCACACUGAUACAGUAACACUGAGCGAAGCCACCCACACCCAGGUGAGGCACCUGCUUCUGCUCUCUCCUCCCAGGGAUGUUUCCACCAGGGGAAGCACCACAGGAAUCCUCACUGACCUGCUCAAUCAAAGGAACCCUGGCCCGGGAGACAGCAGAGUGGAUCUUCUUGGCAGCAUUCAGUCCUGGGCCUGAGUUACUCCCAAAUGUGGUCAUCUGCUAAGCCCAGGGCAAGGGAGAAAGGUUGGGUCUAUAUAAAGGGAGGGAAAAGAGGUAGACAGACUGGGGGUCUACGCCUCAUAGGCACAAGGCAGGAAGUGGGCAGAGACUGACACAGGGAGUCAACAGCCUCCCCUUGCUGAAUCUGGAAGGAAGAAAAGAGGACAGGAGAGGCACCAGGACAGUCUGUGCAAAAGGCCGGAGGAGGAGGAUACACAGCAGGCAUGUCAGAUUGAGUAUUGUUUAAGCAUCCCCAUCCCCCCUAAAAUGAAGGGACAGACACCAAGGGAUAAAUGAAACCCACAGGCCAGAUGUCAAGAUGUCUGGGCAGACACACUGGGAGUUGGCCACCUCAGGCAGAGGUUCUGAGGUACACCAAGGGCCCUCCCGUCCACUUACCAGGGCCAGCUGCUUCUGGGCUUCCUUCCACCAGGGCCUCCAGGUCUUCCCCACCAUCUGGAUAGGAGGUCAGGCUGGGUCUUGGGGGAUCUGCAAAGACAGAAUGACACUGCAGUCAAUCACAAUGUGGAAAGUCAACCAUAUGUCCAAUAGGAAUCUUUCAGCUCUCCCAACUUUAUCCUGCACACAGCAGGGACUCCCCUAUCUUGCUUCUGUAGCACAUACUGGCUAUAGUUUGGAGAAGACCUGCCCCGGUGUGACAAAAUUCUAUCAAAUAAGUUUCCAUAAAGUAGUCUUUUAUUUAUUUUUUAAUCUUUUAGAAUAAAUUAUUCUUAGAAAAAAUUGAGGACCUAAAAAGGGGAAAUAAGUAGCUGAGGUGACAGUGAUGGGGAACUGGGAUGCUGGGGCUGGGAGAUGUCAGACAUGCACUGGGGCUGGGUCUGUGAGGCUGCUGUGCAGAAGUGGGUGGACACAGCCGGUCCAACUAGACCCCUGGGAAAAGCCUGCUGGCACACCUGGCUUUAAAGAGGGCUCCCCACAUCCCCAGAGCUAAUAAGACAGGAUCGCUAGGCCUAAACGAUUUGUGCAAACAAUAUGGUUUAAACGAAACACCUACUUUUCUUGUGAGUCUGGAGUUUGGGUUUGUGCCAGGCAAAUGGGGCAUAUGGCCAACCCCCAAUAAAAACUCUGGGCCCUGAAUCUCCGAUGAGCUUCCCUGGUAAACAACAUCUCACAUGUAUUGUCACAUCUUGUUGCUGGGGAAUUAAGUGAAUCCCAUGUGACCACUAAGAAGAUUCUGGAAGCUUGAGCCUGGCUACCCUGAACCUCACCCCACUUGCCUUUUCCCCUUGCUGACUGUGCUCUAUACCUUUUCACUGUAGUAAAUCACAGCCAUGAGUCUGACCAUAGGCGGAGUCCUCCUUGUGAAUCGUCGAACCUGGGGGUGCUCCUGGGGACCCUAACCUGGCUGGGAAGGCAACUUCCCUUCUGUGAACCUAAGUUUCAGAAUGAUCAGUGAAAGAGGGCAAUCCAACCUCCUCAUGGGGUGACCAAAAGAUUGAGUGAGAGCUUGACCAGCAGAGGACUUGGUUCAUGACACAGCAGUUUCUGCUACUCCACUGCUUAUUCACUCAGAAAUGGUUCACUGGAGUCCUAUGGUAGGUACUGGGGACACCAAUGAACAAAGCAGGUUAAAAAUCCUGCCCCUAUGAAGUUCCCAUUUCAGAUGACAGAUUAAGUAGUUAGAACACUAAGGAGCCAUGAAGGAGUUGAGGAGAGUGAGGCAGGGCCUUCUCAUAGGUCACAGCUCAGUGUAACAAAGGGAAGCCCUGAGAACUAUGGGCAGAGGGGAGGGCAAUCACAGUGACCCUAAGGUCAAGGAAUGACUCCAUGGUUACAAAUAGGAAAUUCAUAGGGAUGAAGCUGCAGAGGCAGGCAGGCAGGAGGCCAGACAGGGCUUCUCAGCCUCACUCCACUAACAUUUGAAGGUUGGAUAACCCUCGGCUGGAGGUGCUGUCCUGUGCAUUGUGGGAGGUGUGGCAGCAUCUGUGGGCUCCACCCGCUAUAGCACCCCCAUUCCUGGGCUCACCCACUAUAGCACUCCUGCUCCAAACACGAGGAUUAAAAAUGUCUACAGACAUUGCCAAUGUCUGCUGGCAGGCAGAGGCAGCCAGUUGAGAAUGACUGGGUUGGGCCAUGCUGAUACCUAGGCACUCAGAAGCUGGGACUCCAACUGGUGGGUGGAUAGCACAGGUGAUCCCCAAGUAGGACAGUGACUGGGACCCCAGAGUCAGAAGAGCACUCACUCAGAAG